CNGCAGUCGACGAUUCUACGGGAGGCAGCAGUAGGGAAUUUUGCGCAAUGGACGAAAGUCUGACGCAGCGAUACCGUGUGUGGGAAGAAGCUCUGUGGAGUGUAAACCACUGUCGGAAGGGAAGAAUAAAUGACGGUACCUUCAAAGGAAGCACCGGCUAACUCUGUGCCAGCAGCCGCGGUAAUACAGAGGGUGCAAGCGUUGUCCGGAUUUAUUGGGCGUAAAGCGUCUGUAGGUUGUUUGACAAGUCUGGAGUGAAAGAAUGAAGCUCAACUUCAUACCCGCUUCGGAAACUGUCAGACUAGAGAUUGUUAGGGGUAAGUGGAAUUCCAAGUGUAGCGGUGAAAUGCGUAGAUAUUUGGAGGAACACCAAUGGCGAAAGCAGCUUACUGGGACAUAUCUGACACUGAGAGACGAAAGCUAGGGGAGCGAAAGGGAUUAGAUACCCCUGUAGUCCUAGCCGUAAACGAUGAGUACUAGUUGUCAUGGGAAUCGACCCCCGUGGUAACGUAGCUAACGCGUUAAGUACUCCGCCUGAGUAGUAUGUACGCAAGUAUGAAACUCAAAUGAAUUGACGG
RNAcentral lists this ribosomal RNA (578 nucleotides) under uncultured cyanobacterium. RNAcentral's name for it is "bacterial SSU rRNA". It matches the Rfam family "Bacterial small subunit ribosomal RNA", at positions 324 to 916 of the family's 1533-position model. The record is from RNAcentral. Lineage: Bacteria; Bacillati; Cyanobacteriota.